This 280-nucleotide long non-coding RNA is filed under the name Vigna radiata. RNAcentral's name for it is "long non-coding RNA (VRAD_LNC016436)". The record is from RNAcentral. Lineage: Eukaryota; Viridiplantae; Streptophyta; Magnoliopsida; Fabales; Fabaceae.
GGGGGUUGAAUUGGUGAUGUUUCAAAAACAAAAUCUUUUCGCAAUCUUUUAUCAAAAGUACAAAGCUUUUUGAACUUUCUUGAAAUCUGUUGAUACUAUCUUUAUCCCUCGGAAAACCGGAACUUGUAAGCAGAGUUAUUCCCCAACUAGGACUUGCAGGCGAGCUACCCUUGGUUGAAAGCCCUGGUUGAGAAAGACUUUUCUUUACUAGCCGUUCCCUCUACCUGUCUACCGAGCUUACUAGUUCCGUUCAUUCCCUGCUGUAACUGUCAGAGCUCAG